CGACCUGAGUUCAGGUGAGGCUACCCGCUGAACUUAAGCAUAUCAAUAAGCGGAGGAAAAGAAACUAACCAGGAUUCCCUUAGUAACGGCGAGCGAAAAGG
RNAcentral lists this ribosomal RNA (101 nucleotides) under Ulva prolifera. Its description in RNAcentral is "partial 28S rRNA". It matches the Rfam family "Eukaryotic large subunit ribosomal RNA", at positions 1 to 101 of the family's 3401-position model. Lineage: Eukaryota; Viridiplantae; Chlorophyta; Ulvophyceae; Ulvales; Ulvaceae. The record is from RNAcentral.